This 325-nucleotide ribosomal RNA is filed under the name uncultured fungus. Its description in RNAcentral is "eukaryotic LSU rRNA". The stretch from base 1 to 71 matches the Rfam family "5.8S ribosomal RNA", at positions 84 to 154 of the family's 154-position model. The record is from RNAcentral. Lineage: Eukaryota; Fungi.
GUGAGUCAUCGAAUCUUUGAACGCACCUUGCGCCUUUUGGUAUUCCAAAAGGCACACCUGUUUGAGUGUCAUGAAACCCUCUCACAAAACAACUUUAUUGUUGCUUUUUUGUGGAUGUUGAGUGUUGCUAUAUUGUUAUAGCUCACUUUAAAUAUAUAAGUCACACUUUUCAAGUAAGUUGGAUUGACUUGGUGUAAUAAUUUUCCAUCAUCACAUCAAGGAAAGUAGCAAUACUUGCCAUCUUUUGAAAGGAGGGACUCCUAAAAAACCCCUCAUAACACUUUUUUAAGACCUCAAAUCAGGUGGGACUACCCGCUGAACUUAA